Molecule: non-coding RNA, 2545 nt
Organism: Phasianus colchicus (ring-necked pheasant)
Lineage: Eukaryota; Metazoa; Chordata; Aves; Galliformes; Phasianidae
Source: RefSeq, a predicted model, not a curated record
GCUUGCUUGCUUAGCAAAGGCAGGUAGAGGCAUGUGAUGCAAAGGCAGACGGUUGCUUGUGAAGCCAUGUCAGGUGGUGUGUGCACUUUAGUGCUGGUGGCUCAGAGUUGAAGAUGCCUGAGCUGUGUGACAGCUGGGAGAGUGGGAUGGCCAAGGAUGGCCUAUGGUCCGAGCCCCCUGGGGAGAGAGUGAGAUCACUGAAGGGAGGGAAGAUUCUUAGAGUCUGAGGGGUCUAGAAAGGGAGCUGAAAGGUUUGGGGCUCCCUUGCUGUGCUCUGCGCAGGCUGUGGCAGUGCUGGGGUUUAUUUUGGAGUCAGUCUGAAAACAAAAUGAGACAAGGGGGUUUUCUGUGCAGUUUGAAGCCCUGCAACUCUGCUGCCGGGGCUGCAGCCCAGGGUAGGCACCCUGUCCCCACAACUGCUGACCACGUUCUUUCCUUCUCUGCAGUGACCACGUCCAGCCCUACGAAGACACUUUACAUCAUGUCGGACACCAAAGUGUCUGCGCUGACCACGUCUGUGAUGGGUGAGGCUACCUCAGUCCCUCUCAAAGUGCCUGGCAUCCAACCUUCCUCCUCCGCCAGCUCUCCUCCUAGCCCUGUCACCUUUGCCACCUCCCCAUGUUGUGUCGUGUCAUGGAGACCUGUGGUGCUGGAGCAGGCCUGAACUCCCCUCCCUGACAGCAGACACGUUUCUGAAAUCUCUGCUCAUUUCCUCAUCCUGCUGGCUCAUUCUGUAUUUCCAGCAUGGCCGUGCAGAAAGGCUGGGGAAGAAGACAGAGCUGGAGAAAGCACCAAAGAGAGAUUGCAAUGUCUUACCUAUGCUGUAUGAAUUGCAAGCUUGCCUACAAGCGGGAUCAUCCAGCAGCUUUCACACUCUCCCUUUGUGGAAAUGUAAUCAACUCAUUCAAUGGUGGGAUCAUGAAUGAGUCCAAUGAGAAGGCAGCAUCAACAGUGAAAGUUUGACUAUAAACUGAAAGAAUGAAUUACCAUGAUUGAAUGUGAACCAGUAGUCCAGUAAUAGUUCUAUGAAGUCUCAACACCUACCAGAUACUUAGCUUCUUUCCCAAGAGGCUCUCUCUAGGCACGAAUUUGGGGACCCUUUUCCCCUGUUCUAUGGAGCUCCUAUUCCCCAUUCCUCCGGAAUGCUGCUGGGAACUCCCCAGCUCACAGCUUACCACACUCCGAUUCUCGGAUUUAGGGCCAAUCCCUCUGGAGCACCUUGCUCCUUAAUUCUCGGAUUCAUAGGGGUGUACUGCUGGCACUUUGUCAAGUGCACAAGGUACCGCACACCAACAGCUCCCUGCCGAGAUUCACCCGAGUCUCCACCGACCCCCAAGGCAAGAAUUAAAUUCCCUUACCUUGCUCCGUGCACGAAGUUACCAGGUCUCCAGGGGUCAAUACCCGUGCCUACCUACCCCUUGGCUUUCUCAGAGCCCGUCCUUUAUGGAACAGCCUCGGUUUCUUAUCGGCCGUCCCAAGGAGUCACCUCACCACCCAGACAGGACCACUGAAAUCAGCGGGGUGCACCUGUCCUGUCCAGGGCAGUAGGGAAACCCCCGAGGGGCAAUAAUGAUCCUGGACAAGCCCCCAAAUUGUAGGAAAUAUCCAAAUAAUUUUCUAGGACAGUAUCUCUGAUAAAGCAGAUUUUAUUCGCAAUUGCAAUGGCGGGCCUCCUGCAAGCAGGAGAGCCCCGAGAAAACAGGGUUACAUCUUUUAUCCCCUACUGCCUGACGCUUCUCUCUUUCUGCCCUGGUUCCUCGUUGGCUGAGUACUGCAGGUUCACAAUCUUCUCAGCGCUUCACUAAACAUUGAAACACUGGAGAAACAUAAAUUUUUUUGCUGCAUAAGCGUAAAUCUGUAGUUAAUUAAUUAACUUAUUCCCCACCUGAUCAUUAUUUAUCUGCUUGUCCUUCUUUCUACAAAGAUAAGCUUGGGAGAGAGGCAGGGGAGGAUCCUGGUGCCUGCCCUCACACCCCAACCUUCUCAUGGAGUGAGACAGUUCGGCCUUGUGCAGAGGCCCUGACUUCUUUGAUGUUUGCAACAUUUGUCUUUCUUUUGCUGAGAGUUUCUUAUCCUAACAGAACAGCUCUACAAUAUGUUUUCUCAUCCUAACAGAACAGCUCUACGAUAUGUUUUCUAAUCCUUAGCACACUAUACUCGCAUUGUUUGGAACAUUUAACAACUAUUCCGGUUUUGCAAGAAAGAAUUAAUCACAUAAUUCAGUAAUAAUGUUUCUAAAACAUGCCACUAACAGAUAUAGGAUUUUACUUCUUAGAUCAACUAUUUCUAAGGAUAAGUUACAGAAUACAAAUGCAUGAUGUUCUACUUCUUCAAACCAAUUGCUACUUUUUAAUAUCAAAUGCAGAAACAACAUUCCAUUCCCACAAGGGUAAGGGAGAAAAGGGGAUGGGGAGGGUAGAGGAUGGGAAAAGAGGUAAGGGGAAGGAGAGGCUGAGGGAAGGGUUAAAGGAAAACCUAUGAUUAAAUCAGAAAAAAAGAGAGAAAAAGAAAAAAAUAAAGAGAAAAAAAGAAAAAGAAAAAAAGA